Molecule: ribosomal RNA, 832 nt
Filed under: uncultured bacterium
Lineage: Bacteria
Description: bacterial SSU rRNA
Rfam family: Bacterial small subunit ribosomal RNA
Source: RNAcentral
UCGAGCGGUAUAUACUGGAACGAAACUUCGGUCUAGAGAAGGUAUAGAGAGCGGCGGACGGGUGAGUAACGCGUAGGCAACCUGCCCCAUACAGAGGGAUAGCCUCGGGAAACCGGGAUUAAAACCUCAUAACACGAGAGUUUCACAUGUUACACUCGUCAAAGAUUCAUCGGUAUGGGAUGGGCCUGCGUCUGAUUAGCUAGUUGGUGAGGUAACGGCUCACCAAGGCAACGAUCAGUAGCCGACCUGAGAGGGUAAUCGGCCACAUUGGAACUGAGACACGGUCCAAACUCCUACGGGAGGCAGCAGUGGGGAAUAUUGCACAAUGGGCGAAAGCCUGAUGCAGCAACGCCGCGUGAGCGAUGAAGGCCUUUGGGUCGUAAAGCUCUGUCCUUGGGGAAGAAAAAAAUGACGGUACCCUUGGAGGAAGCCCCGGCUAACUACGUGCCAGCAGCCGCGGUAAUACGUAGGGGGCAAGCGUUAUCCGGAAUUAUUGGGCGUAAAGAGUGCGUAGGUGGUUAUGUAAGCGCAGGGUGAAAGGCAAUAGCUCAACUAUUGUAAGCCUUGCGAACUGCAUGACUUGAGUGCAGGAGAGGAAAGUGGAAUUCCUAGUGUAGCGGUGAAAUGCGUAGAUAUUAGGAGGAACACCAGUGGCGAAGGCGACUUUCUGGACUGUAACUGACACUGAGGCACGAAAGCGUGGGGAGCAAACAGGAUUAGAUACCCUGGUAGUCCACGCCGUANACGAUGAGCACUAGGUGUCGGGGUCNCAAGACUUCGGUGCCGCAGUUAACGCAUUAAGUGCUCCGCCUGGGGAGUACGCACGCAAGUG